CUACGGGAGGCUCCAGUCGCGAAAACUCCGCAAUGCACGAAAGUGUGACGGGGCUACCCCGAGUGCCAUCCGCUGAGGAUGGCUUUUCUUUGGUAUAACUAGCCAUUGGAAUAAGGAGAGGGCAAGACUGGUGUCAGCCGCCGCGGUAAUACCAGCUCUCCGAGUGGUAGGGAUGAUUAUUGGGCUUAAAGCGUCCGUAGCCUGCUUAGCAAGUUUCCUGUUAAACUCAGCGACUCAAUCGUUGGAUCGCGGGAAAUACUACUAGGCUAGGAGGCGGGAGAGGUCAACGGUACUUCUGGGGUAGGGGUGAAAUCCUAUAAUCCCGGGAGGACCACCAGUGGCGAAGGCUGUUGACUAGAACGCGCUCGACGGUGAGGGACGAAAGCUGGGGGAGCGAACCGGAUUAGAUACCCCUGUAGUC
This 421-nucleotide ribosomal RNA is filed under the name uncultured archaeon. Its description in RNAcentral is "partial 16S ribosomal RNA". It matches the Rfam family "Archaeal small subunit ribosomal RNA", at positions 323 to 746 of the family's 1478-position model. The record is from RNAcentral.